RNAcentral lists this ribosomal RNA (587 nucleotides) under uncultured Acinetobacter sp. RNAcentral's name for it is "bacterial SSU rRNA". It matches the Rfam family "Bacterial small subunit ribosomal RNA", at positions 338 to 916 of the family's 1533-position model. The record is from RNAcentral. Lineage: Bacteria; Pseudomonadati; Pseudomonadota; Gammaproteobacteria; Moraxellales; Moraxellaceae.
CCUACGGGAGGCAGCAGUGGGGAAUAUUGGACAAUGGGCGAAAGCCUGAUCCAGCCAUGCCGCGUGUGUGAAGAAGGCCUUUUGGUUGUAAAGCACUUUAAGCGAGGAGGAGGCUACCUGGAUUAAUACUCUAGGAUAGUGGACGUUACUCGCAGAAUAAGCACCGGCUAACUCUGUGCCAGCAGCCGCGGUAAUACAGAGGGUGCGAGCGUUAAUCGGAUUUACUGGGCGUAAAGCGUGCGUAGGCGGCUUUUUAAGUCGGAUGUGAAAUCCCUGAGCUUAACUUAGGAAUUGCAUUCGAUACUGGGAAGCUAGAGUAUGGGAGAGGAUGGUAGAAUUCCAGGUGUAGCGGUGAAAUGCGUAGAGAUCUGGAGGAAUACCGAUGGCGAAGGCAGCCAUCUGGCCUAAUACUGACGCUGAGGUACGAAAGCAUGGGGAGCAAACAGGAUUAGAUACCCUGGUAGUCCAUGCCGUAAACGAUGUCUACUAGCCGUUGGGGCCUUUGAGGCUUUAGUGGCGCAGCUAACGCGAUAAGUAGACCGCCUGGGGAGUACGGUCGCAAGACUAAAACUCAAAGGAAUUGACGG